AGGUGUGGCCUCACCACUCCCCACUGGAGGGAAGCAUCACUUCUCUCCAUCUUGUUGGCAACACUUGCUGGUGUAACCCAGGGCAAUUUUGGCUUUUUUUGCUUUAAGGGCACAUUGCUGUCUCAUGUUCAGCUCGGUAUUUUGAUUUUCCUCACCUGAUACCUGCACACUCAAACAGUGUCAUUGUUCCAUCUGAGUCACAUAUCCCUGCUUCUCCCUCUUGCCUGUUUUAUUUUCGUGUUGAAGUCACCAGGAUCAUCUUGUCCAUCCGUGCAGGAUCCAUGCUGCUGGUUCUCCUGUCAGGACAGACCAAGGCUUGGAGGAUUAAUCCCAGGUCUCCCUUCCCCCCCAGGACUGUCUGCCAUGGGAUUCUCUCAGGCAGAUCCUGCAGGAAAAUCCUCUCCUCAUGUGAAAUCCUUUUUUGCUUUGUCUGCUUUUUGCCUUGUUUCCUUCUUGCAGGAUCUUGAACUCCCUCAUCUCGUGGUCACUGCAGCAGAGUUGCCCCCGACCUUCAGCCCUUCCUUGUUUGUGAGUGUGGGCUCCAUCUUCCCGUGUUGACUCCUGGAUACUCAGGGAAGGAGACUGGCUCACACUUCUCCUUUUCUUCAAUGUUUCUGCCAUCUCUGCAUUUACACUCCCAGCCCUAUACCUCAGUGCAUUAGAACUGCCUGUGGUGAGGACUGCCCUGGCCUGCUGCCCAAAAAUAAUAUUCCAUCAUUUCCUGGUGGGGAAAAAACCUCCUGAAGACUUGUGGCCAUUUGUCCUCACAUCUAUUUGCAGCUCCUUAUUUCCCUUGAGAAGCAUCCAAGAGCAUUUGGAAGUUGAAUUUUCCGAUGUCCUCACUGAUCUCCAGCCCCCUCUGUUUCUUGGAAGGACGAGCCUAUGAGGACAAAUCUCCCACGUUGUUUCAUCCCAUUAUUCACUACUCUGUGUCCAUUUGAUUUCUACCCAUCACACCACGUUCUUUAUCUCCUCCUUUUUCUGAGCUUACUUGGAGAUCUGCCCCCUGUAACACUUAGAGAUGCAGACACAUGAAAAUGGGCACUUUGUCCUGUCACAGAUUCUGUUGAAGAGCAGCUUCAGCUAUCAGGUUAUCAUUAGGUGAUGUGCUGACAAACACAUCCCUGAGGGAGAGGAUUGUGAGCUGCUGGAGGAAAAAUGAUCAAGAUUGGCCUGCCAAAUAUAUGAAUUCCCCUUCAACACAUCCAGACAUGGAUUUUGAUCAGUUUGGACUGAAUGCAUUUGCAACUUGCGAUAUCUCCAUUAAGAGAUUUCAAAUGAAGUUUUAAUCCUCUUUCAUUGAUAUUUCCCAUUAGUGAAAAAACCAAAACCUUCUAGGCCUUUUCAAGAUGCCUUUUCUGUGUGCUGAAUGGGAGAACCAUUUUAUCUGAUGGAAUUUCCAUUUCCCUGAUGGUGAGCAAUGGGUGCUUUCUCUGAGAACAGACUCUGCAGAGAUCCAGAGCCCAAACAUUCUUGAACCUGGUGUUGUUUGGGUGCCAGGCAAAGAAAGCAUUGUAGUAACUCUUUCCUGGCUCGUGGUGGUUUUGCCUGGAAUAAUUCCCCGUGUAACAAUGUCAAGGAGAAUGCCUGUGAAAGGUAAGUUAUUUUGACAGCAUGGCUCCACAGCAGUGAUCUGUCCUAGUGAACAGAACCAGGGCUCCUGAUGGUG
Molecule: non-coding RNA, 1669 nt
Organism: Sturnus vulgaris (Common starling)
Lineage: Eukaryota; Metazoa; Chordata; Aves; Passeriformes; Sturnidae
Source: RefSeq, a predicted model, not a curated record